GAAUCAAAAAAAGAAAAGAAACCCAGUUAUGGUUAUUCGUUAGAGAAUUGGAAAUAUUAAAGUGUAGUCUCCUAAAGAAGGAAAUUGGAAGGAAAAGGGAAGGCAAAGGAACGUAAUGGUAACGCUCGCAUUGAGUUUUCUUUUUCUCUCUGGUUCUUCCAAAUGGAAAAUUGAUUCUUUGAGAUUUGUGUAAGAAAUGAACUGGUGAUGGAUACGUGGAUUAGUGGGGUCAUCUCGCGACCCAGUGGCAAUUUACUCUGUAUGAGUUGGCAGCUGCUCCAGAACCAUCC
RNAcentral lists this long non-coding RNA (290 nucleotides) under Manihot esculenta (cassava). RNAcentral's name for it is "long non-coding RNA (MESC_LNC007282)". The record is from RNAcentral. Lineage: Eukaryota; Viridiplantae; Streptophyta; Magnoliopsida; Malpighiales; Euphorbiaceae.